UGGGAAGUAGCCAAGCGGUAAGGCAACGGACUUUGACUCCGUCAUCUCGUGGGUUCGAAUCCCGCCUUCCCAGCCA
Molecule: transfer RNA, 76 nt
Filed under: Oscillospiraceae bacterium
Lineage: Bacteria; Bacillati; Bacillota; Clostridia; Eubacteriales; Oscillospiraceae
Description: tRNA-Gln
Rfam family: tRNA
About the family: Transfer RNA (tRNA) molecules are approximately 80 nucleotides in length. Their secondary structure includes four short double-helical elements and three loops (D, anti-codon, and T loops). Further hydrogen bonds mediate the characteristic L-shaped molecular structure. tRNAs have two regions of fundamental functional importance: the anti-codon, which is responsible for specific mRNA codon recognition, and the 3' end, to which the tRNAs corresponding amino acid is attached (by aminoacyl-tRNA synthetases). tRNAs cope with the degeneracy of the genetic code in two manners: having more than one tRNA (with a specific anti-codon) for a particular amino acid; and 'wobble' base-pairing, i.e. permitting non-standard base-pairing at the 3rd anti-codon position.
Source: RNAcentral